This 502-nucleotide ribosomal RNA is filed under the name uncultured Glomus. RNAcentral describes it as "SSU rRNA". It matches the Rfam family "Eukaryotic small subunit ribosomal RNA", at positions 569 to 1074 of the family's 1831-position model. Lineage: Eukaryota; Fungi; Glomeromycota; Glomeromycetes; Glomerales; Glomeraceae. The record is from RNAcentral.
AGCAGCCGCGGUAAUUCCAGCUCCAAUAGCGUAUAUUAAAGUUGUUGCAGUUAAAAAGCUCGUAGUUGAAUUUCGGGGUUAGUAGGUUGGUCAUGCCUCUGGUAUGUACUGGUCUCACUGAUUCCUCCUUCCUGAUGAACCUUAAUGCCAUUUAUUUGGUGUUUUGGGGAAUUUGGACUGUUACUUUGAAAAAUUAGAGUGUUUAAAGCAAGCUAACGCUUGAAUACAUUAGCAUGGAAUAAUGAAAUAGGACGUUCGAUCCUAUUUUGUUGGUUUCUAGGAUUGACGUAAUGAUUAAUAGGGAUAGUUGGGGGCAUUAGUAUUCAAUUGUCAGAGGUGAAAUUCUUGGAUUUAUUGAAGACUAACUACUGCGAAAGCAUUUUGCCAAGGAUGUUUUCAUUAAUCAAGAACGAAAGUUAGGGGAUCGAAGACGAUCAGAUACCGUCGUAGUCUUAACCAUAAACUAUGCCGAACUAGGGAUCGGAUGAUGUUAAUUUUUAAU